CUGAGUGCAUGAUGAUGUCAAGUUAUCCCUGUCUGAAGGCCGAGAGAGGCCUUCCUGUGUGGACUCUGGUGUCUGAAACUCAG
Molecule: small nucleolar RNA, 83 nt
Organism: Talpa occidentalis (Iberian mole)
Lineage: Eukaryota; Metazoa; Chordata; Mammalia; Eulipotyphla; Talpidae
Product: small nucleolar RNA R38
Exons: 1
Source: RefSeq, a predicted model, not a curated record